GAGUUUGAUCAUGGCUCAGAUUGAACGCUGGCGGCAGGCUUAACACAUGCAAGUCGAACGGUAGCAGGAAGAAAGCUUGCUUUCUUUGCUGACGAGUGGCGGACGGGUGAGUAAUGCUUGGGAAUCUGGCUUAUGGAGGGGGAUAACUGUGGGAAACUGCAGCUAAUACCGCGUAGUAUCGAGAGAUGAAAGGGUGGGACCUUCGGGCCACCUGCCAUAAGAUGAGCCCAAGUGGGAUUAGGUAGUUGGUGGGGUAAAGGCCUACCAAGCCGACGAUCUCUAGCUGGUCUGAGAGGAUGACCAGCCACACUGGGACUGAGACACGGCCCAGACUCCUACGGGAGGCAGCAGUGGGGAAUAUUGCGCAAUGGGGGGAACCCUGACGCAGCCAUGCCGCGUGAAUGAAGAAGGCCUUCGGGUUGUAAAGUUCUUUCGGUAAUGAGGAAGGGGUAUUAUUGAAUAGAUAAUAUCAUGACGUAAUACGAGA
RNAcentral lists this ribosomal RNA (487 nucleotides) under Pasteurella dagmatis. RNAcentral's name for it is "bacterial SSU rRNA". It matches the Rfam family "Bacterial small subunit ribosomal RNA", at positions 9 to 486 of the family's 1533-position model. The record is from RNAcentral. Lineage: Bacteria; Pseudomonadati; Pseudomonadota; Gammaproteobacteria; Pasteurellales; Pasteurellaceae.